RNAcentral lists this long non-coding RNA (473 nucleotides) under Cricetulus griseus (Chinese hamster). Its description in RNAcentral is "lncRNA (ENSCGRG00015042284.1)". The record is from RNAcentral. Lineage: Eukaryota; Metazoa; Chordata; Mammalia; Rodentia; Cricetidae.
GAGCUACUCAGGCCAACAGGAGACUGGAGAACAAGGGGGGAGGUCAGAGAGGGACUGUGCUGGAGAUGGAAUUUAAAAGCAAGUAGCAGUAUUGUGUGCUUGCAGACAGAGUGAGGGGGUCUUGGAGGAAAGUCUGCACUCGAUUUCAGGCACUGGAAACUCAUGUGGGGCCAGCUGGCUCUCAUCUCUGGUCGGUAGGGUUCUGUUCUGAAAGACACUCCUGAGAACAGGAUUUUGGCAAAACUGUUUCCAGGAAAGAAGAUGGAUACAUAUGGGCAUCACUGUGAGAUCUCCCCUUGUUCCUGGAAUUAUUUAAGAGCUUUGCUGUGUCUGAGCAAGGUGCUCAUGAAGUAUCAAGGGCCACAUUCUACCAUGUGAACCUGAAGAAGGGUGAUAAUACUGCAGCUGUGUGGCAGCUUGUCUCCGAGUGGAAGGAUUAUUACCACCGCCUUUUGACGGGAUGAAUCACCCAG